UACGAAGGGGGGCUAGCGUUGCUCGGAAUCACUGGGCGUAAAGGGUGCGUAGGCGGGUCUUUAAGUCAGGGGGUGAAAUCCUGGAGCUCAACUCCAGAACUCGCCUUUGAUACUGAAGAUCUUGAGUUCGGGAGAUGGGUGAGUGGAACUGCGAGUGUAGAGGUGAAAUUCGAUAGAUAUUCGCAAGAACACCAGUGGCGAAGGCGGCUCACUGGCCCGAUACUGACGCUGAGGCACGAAAGCGUGGGGAGCAAACAGG
RNAcentral lists this ribosomal RNA (259 nucleotides) under uncultured bacterium. RNAcentral's name for it is "partial 16S ribosomal RNA". It matches the Rfam family "Bacterial small subunit ribosomal RNA", at positions 524 to 776 of the family's 1533-position model. The record is from RNAcentral.